UUGGAGGGCAAGUCUGGUGCCAGCAGCCGCGGUAAUUCCAGCUCCAAUAGCGUAUAUUAAAGUUGUUGCAGUUAAAAAGCUCAUAGUUGAAUUUCGGGACCAAUUUGUUGGUCGUGCCUCGGUACGUACUGGUAUUAUUGGUUUCUCCCUUCUGAAGAACCUUGAUGUCAUUAAUUUGGUGUCUUGGGGAAUCAGGACUGUUACUUUGAAAAAAUUAGAGUGUUUAAAGCAGGCAUACGCUUGAAUACAUUAGCAUGGAAUAAUGAAAUAGGACGUUUGAUUCUAUUUUGUUGGUUUCUAGGAUCGACGUAAUGAUUAAUAGGGAUAGUUGGGGGCAUUAGUAUUCAAUUGUCAGAGGUGAAAUUCUUGGAUUUAUUGAAGACUAACUACUGCGAAAGCAUUUGCCAAGGAUGUUUUCAUUAAUCAAGAACGAAAGUUAGGGGAUCGAAGACGAUCAGAUACCGUCGUAGUCUUAACCAUAAACUAUGCCGACUAGGGAUCGGAUGAUGUUAAUUUUUUAAUGACUCAUUCGGCGCCUUACGGGAAAC
Molecule: ribosomal RNA, 548 nt
Filed under: uncultured Septoglomus
Lineage: Eukaryota; Fungi; Glomeromycota; Glomeromycetes; Glomerales; Glomeraceae
Description: SSU rRNA
Rfam family: Eukaryotic small subunit ribosomal RNA
Source: RNAcentral